RNAcentral lists this ribosomal RNA (643 nucleotides) under uncultured Sebacinaceae. RNAcentral describes it as "eukaryotic LSU rRNA". It matches the Rfam family "Eukaryotic large subunit ribosomal RNA", at positions 37 to 665 of the family's 3401-position model. Lineage: Eukaryota; Fungi; Basidiomycota; Agaricomycetes; Sebacinales; Sebacinaceae. The record is from RNAcentral.
UGCAUAUCANUAAGCGGAGGAAAAGAAACUAACAAGGAUUCCCCUAGUAACGGCGAGUGAAGAGGGAAGAGCUCAAAUUUUGAAUCUGGCGUCUUUAGCGUCCGAAUUGUAAUCUAGAGAAGUGUUUUCCGUGACGGACCGUGCAUAAGUCUCCUGGAAUGGAGUGUCAUAGAGGGUGAGAAUCCCGUAUAUGGCACGGACUCCCGUUGCUCUGUGAUACACUCUCGACGAGUCGAGUUGUUUGGGAAUGCAGCUCUAAAUGGGUGGUAAAUGCCAUCUAAAGCUAAAUAUUGGCGAGAGACCGAUAGCGAACAAGUACCGUGAGGGAAAGAUGAAAAGCACUUUGGAAAGAGAGUGAAACAGUACGUGAAAUUGUUGAAAGGGAAACGCUUGAAGUCAGUCGCGCCGUUCGGGAUUCAGCCUUGCUUCUGCUCGGUUUACUUCCCGUUGGGUGGGUCAACAUCAGUUUCGGUCGGAGGAGAAAGACUUGGGGAAGGUGGCAGCAUUCGUGCUGUGUUAUAGCCCCUUGUUGUAUACUUCGGCUGGGACUGAGGACCGCAGCACGCCUCUGGCCGGGGUUCGCCCACGUACGUGCUUAGGAUGUUGGCAUAAUGGCUUUAAGCGACCCGUCUUGAAACACGGA